CCAACGACCAAAGCAAAGGACAGCAGAACUGACUGACACAGCUCAGAAAAUAUCCAAAGCUCUGUAUGCUCUGGAAAGGAAGACAAGAAAUGCUAAAGACUCUGGAUAUUGCUCUGUUUCUAUAAGGUCCCACCCAUAUACCAUCUCUUCUUUUGGAUUUCCUUUGGCAGCUAUACUUGGCCCCAAGGUUUCAACCUCACACUGAAGAAAGUGACAUAAGAAAACACAAGUCCCAGUGCUAUCAGGGGCUAUCUGGAAAAGCUGCUUAAACAGCAAGUGAAAGAAGGCUCUCCCCUACCCCGUUCUAGACGGAGUUCCACUCUUGUUGCCCAAACUGGAGUGCAAUGGCACAAUCUCGGCUCACGACAACCUCCGCCUCUCAGGUUCAAGUGAUUCUCCUGCCUCAGCCUCGCAAGUAGCUGGGAUUACAGACUCACCCUGAAGUUAUUUGAAGGAUCCUUGAGACUCUUUUGGAUUGCUGCUUGGAGAACAUUCCUGUAACUUGUCCCUGCUCCUUGAACUAUAAAAGCAGAAGGGAGGUACUGAGUUAAAACUUACAAAUUAUUAUCAAAUAAAUCUUCAAUAG
RNAcentral lists this long non-coding RNA (586 nucleotides) under Homo sapiens (human). RNAcentral's name for it is "CFLAR antisense RNA 1". The record is from RNAcentral. Lineage: Eukaryota; Metazoa; Chordata; Mammalia; Primates; Hominidae.